This 434-nucleotide ribosomal RNA is filed under the name uncultured bacterium. RNAcentral's name for it is "bacterial SSU rRNA". It matches the Rfam family "Bacterial small subunit ribosomal RNA", at positions 355 to 786 of the family's 1533-position model. The record is from RNAcentral.
UGAGGAAUAUUGGUCAAUGGGCGGGAGCCUGAACCAGCCAAGCCGCGUGAGGGAGGAAGGCCCUAUGGGUCGUAAACCUCUUUUGUCAGGGAACAAAAGCGAGUAUGUAUACUAGUCUGAGUGUACCUGAAGAAAAAGGCAUCGGCUAACUUCGUGCCAGCAGCCGCGGUAAUACGGAGGAUGCGAGCGUUAUCCGGAUUUAUUGGGUUUAAAGGGUGCGUAGGCGGCGGUGCAAGUCAGCGGUAAAAGCCCGGGGCUCAACCCCGGCGAGCCGUUGAAACUGCAGUGCUAGAGAAGGCGAGAGGUACGCGGAAUGCGCAGUGUAGCGGUGAAAUGCUUAGAUAUUGCGCAGAACUCCGAUUGCGAAGGCAGCGUACUGGCGCCUGACUGACGCUGAGGCACGAAAGCGUGGGGAUCGAACAGGAUUAGAUACC